RNAcentral lists this ribosomal RNA (253 nucleotides) under uncultured bacterium. Its description in RNAcentral is "partial 16S ribosomal RNA". It matches the Rfam family "Bacterial small subunit ribosomal RNA", at positions 524 to 776 of the family's 1533-position model. The record is from RNAcentral.
UACGUAGGGACCAAGCGUUGUUCGGAUUUACUGGGCGUAAAGGGCGCGUAGGCGGCGCGGUAAGUCACUUGUGAAAUCUCUGAGCUUAACUCAGAACGGCCAAGUGAUACUGCAGUGCUAGAGUGUGGAAGGGGCAAUCGGAAUUCUUGGUGUAGCGGUGAAAUGCGUAGAUAUCAAGAGGAACACCUGAGGUGAAGACGGGUUGCUGGGCCAACACUGACGCUGAGGCGUGAAAGCCAGGGGAGCAAACGGG